Molecule: ribosomal RNA, 1298 nt
Filed under: uncultured bacterium
Lineage: Bacteria
Description: bacterial SSU rRNA
Rfam family: Bacterial small subunit ribosomal RNA
Source: RNAcentral
CCUAACACAUGCAAGUGGAGCGACGGACCAUGCUUCGGCCUGGGGCCAAGCCGCGAACGGGUGAGUAACACGUGGGUAACCUGCCCCGAUGACCGGGACAACCCGAGGAAACUCGGGCUAAUACCGGAUGUGGCGCACACACAUCAGUGUGUUCGCUAAAGGAAGCUUCGGCCUCCGCAUUGGGAGGGGCCCGCGGCCCAUUAGCUUGUUGGUGAGGUAACGGCUCACCAAGGCGAUGAUCAAUAGGGGAACUGAGAGGUUGAUCCCCCACACUGGCACUGAGAUACGGGCCAGACUCCUACGGGAGGCAGCAGUAGGGAAUAUUGGACAAUGGUUGCAAGACUGAUCCAGCCAUGCCGCGUGCAGGAAGAAGGCUUUCUGAGUUGUAAACUGCUUUUGCCAGGGGAUAAAAAGUCCCUGCGGGGAAAAUUGAAGGUACCUGGUGAAUAAGCCACGGCUAACUACGUGCCAGCAGCCGCGGUAAUACGUAGGUGGCAAGCGUUGUCCGGAUUUAUUGGGUUUAAAGGGUGCGUAGGCGGUGUCCUAAGUCAGUUGUGAAAUACGGCAGCUUAACUGUCGAGGUGCAAUUGAUACUGGGACACUUGAGUACUGAUGAGGUAAGCGGAAUGGACGGUGUAGCGGUGAAAUGCUUAGAUAUCGUCCAGAACACCGAUAGCGAAGGCAGCUUACUAAGGAGUAACUGACGCUGAGGCACGAAAGUGUGGGGAUCAAACAGGAUUAGAUACCCUGGUAGUCCACACUGUAAACGAUGAUCACUCGAUGUUGGCGAUACACGGCCAGCGUCUUAGCAAAAGCGAUAAGUGAUCCACCUGGGGAGUACGCCGGCAACGGUGAAACUCAAAGGAAUUGACGGGGGUCCGCACAGGCGGUGGAGCAUGUGGUUUAAUUCGAUGAUACGCGAGGAACCUUACCUGGGCUAGAAUGCCCUUGACGGGUCCAGAGACGGAUCGUUCCGCAAGGACAAGGAGCAAGGUGCUGCAUGGCUGUCGUCAGCUCGUGCCGUGAGGUGUUGGGUUAAGUCCCGCAACGAGCGCAACCCUUAUCUUUAGUUGCCAGCACGUAAUGGUGGGGACUCUAGAGAGACUGCCUGCGCAAGCAGAGAGGAAGGAGGGGAUGACGUCAAGUCAUCAUGGCCCUUACGCCCAGGGCUACACACGUGCUACAAUGGCGUCUACAGAGUGUUGCAAGGCAGUGAUGCCGAGCCAAUCACAAAAAGGACGUCUCAGUUCGGAUUGCAGGCUGCAACUCGCCUGCAUGAAGUUGGAAUCGCUAGUAAU